UACGGGGGGAGCAAGCGUUGUUCGGAUUUACUGGGCGUAAAGGGCGCGUAGGCGGCGCAACAAGUCACUUGUGAAAUCUCCGGGCUUAACCCGGAGCGGCCAAGUGAUACUGUCGUGCUAGAGUGCGGAAGGGGCUACUGGAAUUCUCGGUGUAGCGGUGAAAUGCGUAGAUAUCAAGAGGAACACCUGCGGCGAAGGCGGGUUGCUGGGCCGACACUGACGCUGAUGCGCGAAAGCCAGGGGAGCGAACGGG
RNAcentral lists this ribosomal RNA (253 nucleotides) under uncultured bacterium. Its description in RNAcentral is "partial 16S ribosomal RNA". It matches the Rfam family "Bacterial small subunit ribosomal RNA", at positions 524 to 776 of the family's 1533-position model. The record is from RNAcentral.